CGGGUGAGUAACGCGUGGAUAACCUGCCUCACACUGGGGGAUAACAGUUAGAAAUGACUGCUAAUACCGCAUAAGCGCACAGUACCGCAUGGUACAGUGUGAAAAACUCCGGUGGUGUGAGAUGGAUCCGCGUCUGAUUAGCCAGUUGGCGGGGUAACGGCCCACCAAAGCGACGAUCAGUAGCCGACCUGAGAGGGUGACCGGCCACAUUGGGGCUGAGACACGGCCCAA
Molecule: ribosomal RNA, 231 nt
Filed under: uncultured bacterium
Lineage: Bacteria
Description: partial 16S ribosomal RNA
Rfam family: Bacterial small subunit ribosomal RNA
Source: RNAcentral